GGGCGCAUAACUCAGUGGUAGAGUGCCUCCUUCACACGGAGGAAGUCGUAGGUUCAAGUCCUACUGUGCCCACCA
This 75-nucleotide transfer RNA is filed under the name Pseudomonadota bacterium. Its description in RNAcentral is "Proteobacteria bacterium tRNA-Val". It matches the Rfam family "tRNA". Rfam says of the family: Transfer RNA (tRNA) molecules are approximately 80 nucleotides in length. Their secondary structure includes four short double-helical elements and three loops (D, anti-codon, and T loops). The record is from RNAcentral. Lineage: Bacteria; Pseudomonadati; Pseudomonadota.